AGACAGGUGGAGCAGUGGUAGCUCGUUGGGCUCAUAACCCAAAGUUCACAGGUUCAAAUCCUGUCCCCGCAACCA
This 75-nucleotide transfer RNA is filed under the name Bacillus sp. (in: firmicutes). Its description in RNAcentral is "Bacillus sp. (in: Bacteria) tRNA-Met". The stretch from base 6 to 66 matches the Rfam family "tRNA", at positions 6 to 65 of the family's 71-position model. From Rfam's summary of the family: Transfer RNA (tRNA) molecules are approximately 80 nucleotides in length. Their secondary structure includes four short double-helical elements and three loops (D, anti-codon, and T loops). Lineage: Bacteria; Bacillati; Bacillota; Bacilli; Caryophanales; Bacillaceae. The record is from RNAcentral.